AAUUGAUUCAGCUUUUUGUAUAAAAUCCUAAAAGGGACUCUUUGGUGCAUCAAUCUUGAAAUGAUCUUCUUAGGAUGAUCCGAACAAGGUUUUCCAUCCACUUGAUUGACUCAUUUUGAUGUGUUUUUACUUUUAAUUUGACAAGUUGAGUUCAGUUCUAACAUCACUCCUGAAGAAGCUCUCACGAGCGAAACAUGUAGAGAGAACUGCAACAAAUUGUUAUGUGAACUGAAGUUUCCAUGUUAUACACUUCAGCUGGUCUUGUAUUGAUUU
This is a long non-coding RNA of Rana temporaria (common frog), 273 nucleotides long. RefSeq lists it as uncharacterized. The transcript is spliced from 3 exons. The record is from RefSeq and is a predicted model, not a curated record. Lineage: Eukaryota; Metazoa; Chordata; Amphibia; Anura; Ranidae.